RNAcentral lists this ribosomal RNA (731 nucleotides) under uncultured bacterium. Its description in RNAcentral is "partial 16S ribosomal RNA". The record is from RNAcentral.
AUUGGCUACCUUGUUACGACUUCACCCCAGUCAUGAAUCCUACCGUGGUAAUCGCCCCCCUUGCGGUUAGGCUAACUACUUCUGGUAAAACCCACUCCCAUGGUGUGACGGGCGGUGUGUACAAGACCCGGGAACGUAUUCACCGCGACAUGCUGAUCCGCGAUUACUAGCGAUUCCGACUUCACGCAGUCGAGUUGCAGACUGCGAUCCGGACUACGAUCGGGUUUCUGGGAUUGGCUCCCCCUCGCGGGUUGGCGACCCUCUGUCCCGACCAUUGUAUGACGUGUGAAGCCCUACCCAUAAGGGCCAUGAGGACUUGACGUCAUCCCCACCUUCCUCCGGUUUGUCACCGGCAGUCUCAUUAGAGUGCCCUUUCGUAGCAACUAAUGACAAGGGUUGCGCUCGUUGCGGGACUUAACCCAACAUCUCACGACACGAGCUGACGACAGCCAUGCAGCACCUGUGUUCCGGUUCUCUUGCGAGCACUGCCAAAUCUCUUCGGCAUUCCAGACAUGUCAAGGGUAGGUAAGGUUUUUCGCGUUGCAUCGAAUUAAUCCACAUCAUCCACCGCUUGUGCGGGUCCCCGUCAAUUCCUUUGAGUUUUAAUCUUGCGACCGUACUCCCCAGGCGGUCAACUUCACGCGUUAGCUGCGCUACCAAGGCCCGAAGGCCCCAACAGCUAGUUGACAUCGUUUAGGGCGUGGACUACCAGGGUAUCUAAUCCUGUUAAU